This 401-nucleotide ribosomal RNA is filed under the name uncultured bacterium. RNAcentral describes it as "bacterial SSU rRNA". It matches the Rfam family "Bacterial small subunit ribosomal RNA", at positions 356 to 773 of the family's 1533-position model. The record is from RNAcentral.
GAGGAAUAUUGCACAAUGGGCGAAAGCCUGAUGCAGCAACGCCGCGUGGGGGAUGAAGGCCUUCGGGUCGUAAACCCCUUUUCUGUGGGACGAGAAAGGACGGUACCACAGGAAUAAGUCUCGGCUAACUACGUGCCAGCAGCCGCGGUAAAACGUAGGAGGCGAACGUUAUCCGGAAUUACUGGGCGUAAAGCGCACGCAGGCGGCUUCGUAAGUCCGACGUGAAAGCUCCCGGCUUAACUGGGAGAGGCCGUUGGAUACUGCGGAGCUUGAGGUUGGGAGAGGAAAGCGGAAUUCCCGGUGUAGUGGUGGAAUGCGUAGAUAUCGGGAGGAACUCCAGUGGCGAAAGCGGCUUUCUGGCCUACACCUGACGCUGAGGUGCGAAAGCGUGGGGAGCGAAC